Molecule: long non-coding RNA, 2351 nt
Organism: Macrobrachium nipponense
Lineage: Eukaryota; Metazoa; Arthropoda; Malacostraca; Decapoda; Palaemonidae
Exons: 3
Source: RefSeq, a predicted model, not a curated record
CUUUAUAUUAGCAGGCAGAAAGAUUACUGGUGCUUUUUAAAAAGGAUUUUAUUUGACAGGAUUAAAAUGGAGGAUUUUUUGAUACUUGAUAAUGUCUUACUUAUUCACUUUUCUGUUUUUAUUUCUUAAUUUCAUCACAAAUUUUUUCCAGGUGUUCAUCCUGAAGGCAACCGUAUAGUCAAAGAAGCAUUUGACAUCCUAAGAAGCCAUCAGUUCGGUGAAAUAAAAGUUGAAAUUUUAAUGAUUAACAUCUGAUUGGUAUGUUUGGUUUUUGAUGCAAGCAGUAAAUGUAGGUCACCCAUUAUUCAGAGAUGCAGUGAACUGAAGUAAUACUUGAUGUAGCAGUUGACAGAGCACUCAAAUGAACUAGAAGGUGCACCCAAGUUUUACAGAAUUAUAAAAUGUUUCUUUGUCAGAAGCAAAGAACGAAACUUGGACCAAGUCUUGUAAACCAGUCUUUGAUGACGUUUCAGGUGAGUCUCGAUUUCAUGGUUUCAAAAUCUGCAAUUAGAGUGAUAUAAGAGAAAUAAGGAGAUAGCAGUAGGGAAUGGCUACGGAAGAACAUUUUAGAUAUAUAGGCUGUGACUUCUGAACUAGACUUGCAGAAGGGAUUAAAAAAAUAGAAAUGUGGUCAUGUUUCUGCUGGAUGUUUCCGAUAAUCACUUCAGAUUACAUUAGACUGACUUUCGAUUCUAGGUGCAGAGUUAGCAUCAUUUCAUGAAAGACCAUCAAUAUAUGGUGGUUAGGUUCUCCAUUUUGAAGAUACUUGAAUAUAGGCUCCAAGUUGUCGUGCAGAAAUAACGCUCUGACACCCCCGAUCUUCAGUUGUUUAGCUGACCAUAUCCAGAAGUGCAUAGGCCUAGUCUCUUUUGGUCAGUCAAGUCUCCUCGCACAAUGUGAAUAUUAUUGUUAUCCAGACAACGUGAAUGAAUCGUUAUGAUAAGUAAGCGUGGAGGUAAUUUAUGUAAGGGACGUUUCUCAAGGUACUGCUGUGGUUUGUAGAAGUUCCUGAUAUUCCAGAUCAGUGAUAAGAGAGCUGUGUUAGUAUCCAAUGGCUCAAGAUGGUGGUAAUGCUUCUCAGAAUAGUAAGUAAUAAGAGCGAUAGAGAGUUGGAGGGAAGGUGACCAGUGUAAAUAGUAUACUACUCACAAAAAUGGUAAAUACAUUCUUUGGUACGGAAGUUUUAUACACUUGAAUGAUGUUUAGGACAGGAUAAUUAUUUCAUAACGGCAACAGCGGCAUAAAAAAAAAAAAUCAGCAAUUUGGUUAAUGUAAAGUUUUCUUGUAAAUGUUAACGAGCACUUCCACUGAUUACCUUUUAUGCUGACGCUAAUCUAUAUUUCGAGCAAUCCAAGACACGUUCAUUUCUGGCCCUUGAAAUAUUCCAAGCUGCUCCAGAAUUACUUUGAAAAGUUUAAUUUCUUUUUAAUACUCGGCGUAAUUCAUGACGAUAUUCAGGAACGGGAUUUCCCUCGAUGAGGUUAUCUUCCCCCCACCUACCCAUCCCCCCAGUGAAACCAUUCAUAAGAUACCCUCCCUUGUUGUGAACAAGACCAACUAAGAAUAAUAGAUUUGGGUUCUUUAAAUAGCUUAAAAAAGUUAAGUAUGCCUUAGUGUAACCAGACCACUGAGCUGAUUAACAGAUCUCCUAGGGCUGGCCCGAAAAAUUGGAUAGUUUUACAUGGCUAGAAACUAAUUGGUUACCUAACAACGGGUCCUACAUCUUAUUGUGGGAUCCGAACCACAUCGAGAAAUGAAUUUCUAUCACCAGAAAUAAAUUCGUCUGAUUUCUUGUUGGCAGAGCGGGGAAUAGAAUCUGGACCCUAAGAUUGGUAGUCGGGCAUGUAACCAACAGACUCGUCCAGCGAGAAAGCUCUAACUAGAUCUGCUUGUUAGCGUUGAAUCACGUCGGUGAUUCAGUUCUUUAACUGUACUGGUGAACUUUCAAAUACUUACUGAACCUCCCAUUUUCCUUGACGGGUUAGAUUAUAUUUUGUCCACUGUCUACUGUUUCGUGCCAUAUUAUUUCAAUUCCCACUUGGUCUAAGUAUUCAAACUAUGGUCUGUAACCUUUCUCCAUAAUUUAUUAGACCAGCUUUUUUCAGACUUACGCAGCGACCGACAACAAGAACUACAUUUUGCAUUGCUACCCGUUAUAUACUCACGUGUAAUAUAAAUCAGACAACUCUAUUCACUGCGUUCAUUUAUUUAGCAUCGACCAUUUAUUUAUAUGCAUAUUCCUUAUAUUCCGCACAUAUUGGAAUUGUAUUGAAUGGUAAAGUAUUAUUUAUAGAAAAAUAAAGUUAAAGAAAUUCCCGACACAAAGGUAAAGUAAGUAUUAAAAAAAAAAA